GAGUUUGAUCCUGGCUCAGAAUGAACGCGGCGGCGUGCUUAACACAUGCAAGUCGAACGUGAAAUCUUUAGCUUGCUAAAGAGAGUAAAGUGGCGCACGGGUGAGUAAUGUGUGGGUAAUCUACCCUUGAAUUUGGGAUAACAUCGCGAAAGUGGUGCUAAUACCGGAUAAUAUUUUAGGGACUUCGGUUCUUAAAAUCAAAGAUGGCCUCUGUUCUAUGCUAUUGUUUGAGGAUGAGCCCACAUACCAUUAGCUUGUUGGUGGGGUAAUGGCCUACCAAGGCUACGAUGGUUAGCUGGUCUGAGAGGAUGAUCAGCCACACUGGAACUGACACACGGUCCAGACUCCUACGGGAGGCAGCAGUGAGGAAUAUUGCGCAAUGGGGGAAACCCUGACGCAGCAACGCCGCGUGAGUGAUGAAGGCCUUCGGGUCGUAAAGCUCUGUCAAGUGGGAAGAAACAGUAGAAUGCUAAUACCAUUUUACCUUGACGGUACCAUUGGAGGAAGCACCGGCUAACUCCGUGCCAGCAGCCGCGG
This 537-nucleotide ribosomal RNA is filed under the name uncultured delta proteobacterium. Its description in RNAcentral is "bacterial SSU rRNA". It matches the Rfam family "Bacterial small subunit ribosomal RNA", at positions 9 to 520 of the family's 1533-position model. The record is from RNAcentral. Lineage: Bacteria; Deltaproteobacteria.